GGCUCUAUAGUGUAGUGGUUAGCACAUCUGCUUUACUCUCAGAAGGUUCUGGGUUCACGCCCCAGGUGGAGCCA
Non-coding RNA from Pteropus alecto (black flying fox), 74 nucleotides. The record is from Rfam. NCBI's taxonomy places the organism in Eukaryota, Metazoa, Chordata, Mammalia, Chiroptera, Pteropodidae.